UGCAGUCCCAGCCUCGUGAUUAGUGAUGAUGCACCAGGUUAUGACCUAGAUUUAUUCUGUAGACCUAAUCAGUAUGCUGAGGAUUUGGAUAAGGUGUUUAUUCCUCAUGGACUAAUUAUGGACAGGACGGAACGGCUGGCUCGAGAUGUGAUGAAAGAGAUGGGAGGCCAUCACAUCGUGGCCCUCUGUGGGCUCAAGGGGGGCUAUAAAUUCUUUGCUGACCUGCUGGAUAACAUCAAAUGAACAGAAAUAGUGAUAGAUCUAGACCUAUGACUGUAGAUUUCAUCAGACUGAAGAGCUACUGUAAUGACCAGUCAACAGGUGACAUAAAAGUCAUUGGUGGAGAUGAUCUCUCAACUUUAACUGGGAAGAAUGUCUUGAUUGUUGACGAUAUAAUUGACACUGGCAAAACAAUGCAAACCUUGCUUUCCUUGGUCAAGCAGCAUAAUCCAAAGAUGGUCAAGGCUGCAAGCUUGCAGGGGUGAAAAGGACCCCUCAAAGUGUUGGAUAGAGACCAGACUUUGUUGGAUUUCAAAUUCCAGACAAGUUUGUUGUAGGAUAUGCCCUUGACUACAAUGAAUACUUCAGGGAUUUGAAUCAUGUUUGUGUCAUUAGCGAAACUGGAAAAGCAAAAUACAAAGCCUAA
Molecule: RNA transcript, 646 nt
Organism: Lipotes vexillifer (Yangtze River dolphin)
Lineage: Eukaryota; Metazoa; Chordata; Mammalia; Artiodactyla; Lipotidae
Gene name: hypoxanthine-guanine phosphoribosyltransferase pseudogene
Exons: 1
Source: RefSeq, a predicted model, not a curated record